This 271-nucleotide ribosomal RNA is filed under the name uncultured bacterium. RNAcentral describes it as "partial 16S ribosomal RNA". It matches the Rfam family "Bacterial small subunit ribosomal RNA", at positions 524 to 794 of the family's 1533-position model. The record is from RNAcentral.
UACGUAGGGGGCAAGCGUUGUCCGGAAUCAUUGGGCGUAAAGAGCGCGUAGGCGGUCCGAUAAGUCUGCUGUGAAAGUCCAGGGCUCAACCCUGGGAUGCCGGUAGAAACUGUCGGGCUAGAGUCCGGAAGAGGUGAGUGGAAUUCCUGGUGUAGCGGUGAAAUGCGCAGAUAUCAGGAGGAACACCAAUGGCGAAGGCAGCUCGCUGGGACGUGACUGACGCUGAGACGCGAAAGCGUGGGGAGCAAACAGGAUUAGAUUCCCGUGUAGU